CCUACGGGAGGCAGCAGUGGGGAAUAUUGCUCAAUGGACGCAAGUCUGACGCAGCAACGCCGCGUGUGUGAAGAAGGCUUUCGGGUUGUAAACUUCUUUUAAGGGGGAAGAGCAGGAUGCGGUACCCCUUGAAUAAGCCACGUCUAACUACGUGCCAGCAGACGCGCUAAGACGGAGGGGGCAAGCGUUGUACGGAUUUACGGGGUGGAAAGGGCGCGCAGCCGGCGUGUCAAGUCAGAUGUGAACGCCUCGGGCUAAACCUGCGAACUGCAUUUGAAACUGGUUGUCUUGAGUAUUGGAGAGGUAAGUGGAAUUCCUAGUGUAGCGGUGAAAUGCGUAGAUAUCAGGAGGAAUACCAGUUGCGAAGGCG
This 370-nucleotide ribosomal RNA is filed under the name uncultured bacterium. RNAcentral's name for it is "partial 16S ribosomal RNA". It matches the Rfam family "Bacterial small subunit ribosomal RNA", at positions 338 to 723 of the family's 1533-position model. The record is from RNAcentral.